GUCGAACGCUGGCGGCGUGCUUAACACAUGCAAGUCGAACGGAAAGGCCCUGCUUUUUUGUGGUGCUCGAGUGGCGAACGGGUGAGUAACACGUGAGUAACCUGCCCUUUGCUUGGGGAUAACUUCAGGAAACUGGGGCUAAUACCGGAUAGGAGCUCCUGCUGCAUGGUGGGGGUUGGAAAGUUUCGGCGGUUGGGGAUGGACUCCCGGCUUAUCAGCUUGUUGGUGGGGUAGUGGCUUACCAAGGCUUUGACGGGUAGCCGGCCUGAGAAGAUGACCGGCCACAUUGGGACUGAGAUACGGCCCAGAAUCCUACGGGAGGCAGCAGUGGGGAAUAUUGCACAAUGGGCGGAAGCCUGAUGCAGCAACGCCGCGUGCGGGAUGACGGCCUUCGGGUUGUAAACCGCUUUCGCCUGUGACGAAGCGUGAGUGACGGUAAUGGGUAAAGAAGCACCGGCUAACUACGUG
This 468-nucleotide ribosomal RNA is filed under the name uncultured bacterium. Its description in RNAcentral is "partial 16S ribosomal RNA". It matches the Rfam family "Bacterial small subunit ribosomal RNA", at positions 28 to 507 of the family's 1533-position model. The record is from RNAcentral.